Long non-coding RNA from Solanum lycopersicum (tomato), 1570 nucleotides. RefSeq lists it as uncharacterized. Lineage: Eukaryota; Viridiplantae; Streptophyta; Magnoliopsida; Solanales; Solanaceae. The record is from RefSeq and is a predicted model, not a curated record.
UUUAUCUACAUCUUCCCCAUAUAUUUAUUUUCCAAUGUAAUCAAACUCUACUCUUCCCCAUAUACUUCUCUUCCCCCCAUUAACUUAACACAAAUGUUUCUCACUUAUCAUCUUUCUCAAAUCACAUUUCUAACUUAUCAUCUUCCUCAAAUCAUCAUCUGGUUUUCUCACUCCAAGUUCAAAACUUCCACUUUUGGUUUGGAUAUCUGAAGUUAUUCCAUAUCUGGGAAAGUAUGUCGGGAAGUCCAUGGAUUCUACACUGCUCAUUGCCCGUUUACUAAGAUGAUACACUUCAAAGAGCGAAGAUAAAGUUGAAGGUGAUCCAUUUAAGUAUAAGGAGAGAAGUAUGAAGAUUGUUCACCCAUACCUCAUCCCUACUUUGCGUGAGAUGGGACAUAAUUACAUGAAAAUAUUUAAGCCAUAUAUGGAUGAAGUGAAGGAGGCAAUCAUCAAUAUAUUGAAUGCCCAAUGGAAAAGUCUGACCGUCCUCACUGAAGGUGAUGAACAUUUUGGUGAUCACAAUGUACAUUGUGUGAAUUCUAUUUUAGUAAACAGAAAACUGUACCUAGUACCUCUAAUGCUGGGAAUUUGGAAAAUCUAAGUGAUCGUGUCUUAUCACUUGAGAAAUCAAUGGUCCGAAUUGUUGCCUAUAUAUGGGACAAAAAGUUGAGGAGAAUUGAAAAGAAUAAAAAAAAACAAGAUAAAGGUAAAUGUAUAGUUACCGUCAAGUAAUUCAUUCCUAUAUUUUUUUGUCAAAGUAAUAUAGUACAUGUGGACAUUACAAUAGAUAAUGAAGACUUGUAGUAGUUGAUGAAGACAUUGGUGAAAUUGGUGAAUUCUUUACAGAUGGAGUUGAUGGUAUGACAUUUGAUAAAGUGACAGGUGAUGGUGUGGUAGAGUAUGAUGUUGUAUAUGAAGUGACAUGUGUAGUUGAUCCAGUGAUAGUUAUUGAUGAAGUGACAUGUCUUGAUGUUGUUGAUGAAGUGACAACUGGUGAAGUGGCAGGUGUAGUUGAUGAUGUUGCAAGUGGCGAAUAGGGAGGUGUUGAUGUUGUUUAUGAAGUGGUAAGUGGUGAAGUGGCAGAUGCAUUUGAUGAUAUGGCAUGUGCAAAUGAUGCAGUGACAAUUGAUGUUAUUGAUGAAGUAACAGUGGUGGUUGAUUCUAUGGUAGUUGAUGAUGUGGUAGAUGCAGUUGUUCCAAGGGAAGUUAUUGUUAUUGAUGAAGUGAUCGUUGGUAUUAUCGAUGAAGCGGCAAGUGUUGAAGUGGGUGGCAAUUAAUGUUGUUGAUCAAGUGUCAGAAAAGAAAAAGGUAGAAGAAAAAAAAUGGCAGUGUUGAAAUGGAUGUGACGAAUAUCGUUAUGGAACUCAAUGGUGAUAUUAAUGGCGACGGAAAAUAAUUGAAGUGAAUGUUAAACAUUUGGCAUGAAGACAAUGAUUUUUAAAGUAUUUGGUAUUUUAAGACAAUGGUUGAAUUGGUUUGUCAUUUUACAAUUUCGUGGAGAAAAUACAUUUGAAAGAUUAUAGAUUUUUUGUAUAUGGUUAAUGAUAAUUUUGAGAAACAAUUUAACAUA